AAGAGGAGUUUCGGGAAACGCUCCAAAGAAAUUCAUGAUGGUUCGCAAGAUCCAUCGUGAGAAUGAUCGUACGAGCGAAGAUCCAUCGUUAUCGGGAAACGAGGCCCAGGAUAUCUUUUGGAGGCGAUCUCCAAAGGUGUAAAUAACAACAAUAUCCUCCGGUCAACUGUUAUUAACGUGAGCUCCUACACAAAUUAAAUGACAGAAAUAUGUUGGCGAACUGCACAAUAAGUUUAAGCUAGCAGAACUUUCUGUGACCACAGUGUAGCUCACCUCUCCCAAGGAGUACAACAGCAUAAGGGGAGAGGCAAAAGCGUGAAACACAUUUAUAGGGGAGACCCACGAAAGUGAUAUCGGGGUACAGCAACUGAGUCUCAAAUGUUCCACAUAUUGCCUCAGGAGGCCGAACAUCUCAGGUUAUAACUAUUUAAACAGAUUUUGUGUAAUUAUAAUACUACAUAUUACUGUUGUAUAUUUUACUCUGUUACACAUAUAACUGCUGUAUAAUUGACUCUGUUACACAUACAUGCGCCAGUACAGGGAAAUAAACAAACAUGCUGGAUUAUU
This is a long non-coding RNA of Gadus macrocephalus (Pacific cod), 567 nucleotides long. RefSeq lists it as uncharacterized. Lineage: Eukaryota; Metazoa; Chordata; Actinopteri; Gadiformes; Gadidae. The record is from RefSeq and is a predicted model, not a curated record. The transcript is spliced from 2 exons.